This 454-nucleotide ribosomal RNA is filed under the name uncultured Porphyromonadaceae bacterium. Its description in RNAcentral is "bacterial SSU rRNA". It matches the Rfam family "Bacterial small subunit ribosomal RNA", at positions 341 to 792 of the family's 1533-position model. The record is from RNAcentral. Lineage: Bacteria; Pseudomonadati; Bacteroidota; Bacteroidia; Bacteroidales; Porphyromonadaceae.
ACGGAAGGCAGCAGUGAGGAAUAUUGGUCAUUGGGCGGAAGCCUGAACCAGCCAAGUCGCGUGAGGGAAGACGGCCCUACGGGUUGUACACCUCUUCUGCGCGGGGGUAAAGUCGGGGACGGGUCCCCGAUUGCAAGUACCGCGCGAAAAAGGAUCGGCUAACUCCGUGCCAGCAGCCGCGGUAAUACGGAGGAUCCGAGUGUUAUCCGGAUUUAUUGGGUUUAAAGGGUGCGCAGGCGGGAUGUCAAGUCAGUGGUGAAAUGGGGGGGCUCAACCGUAGAAGUGCAGUUGAAACUGGCGUCCUUGAGUGCGAAUGAGGUACGCGGAACGUGUCAUGUAGCGGUGAAAUGCAUAGAUAUGACGCAGAACACCGAUUGCGAAGGCAGCGUACUGGGACGCGACUGACGCUGAGGCACGAAAGUGCGGGGAUCGAACAGGAUUAGAUACCCUGGUA